GACGAACGCUGGCGGCGUGCUUAACACAUGCAAGUCGAACGGAAAGGCCCUGCUUUUGUUGGGUGCUCGAGUGGCGAACGGGUGAGUAACACGUGAGUAACCUGCCCCUGACUGUGGGAUAACUUCAGGAAACUGGGGCUAAUACCGGAUAGGAGCUCCUGCUGCAUGGUGGGGGUUGGAAAGUUUCGGCGGUUGGGGAUGGACUCGCGGCUUAUCAGCUUGUUGGUGGGGUAGUGGCUUACCAAGGGUUUGACGGGUAGCCGGCCUGAGAGGGUGACCGGCGACAUUGGGACUGAGAUAGGGCCCAGACUCCUACGGGAGGCAGCAGUGGGGAAUAUUGCACAAUGGGCGGAAGCCUGAUGCAGCAACGCCGCGUGCGGGAUGACGGCCUUCGGGUUGUAAACCGCUUUCGCCUGUGACGAAGCGUGAGUGACGGUAAUGAGUAAAGAAGCACCGGCUAACUACGUG
Molecule: ribosomal RNA, 468 nt
Filed under: uncultured bacterium
Lineage: Bacteria
Description: partial 16S ribosomal RNA
Rfam family: Bacterial small subunit ribosomal RNA
Source: RNAcentral